GCUUCGUCGUUGAGACGGCCGCCGGAUCUCCGUUGUUGUCGCUGGUCGCCGUUGUCGUCCCUUCUUGGUUGCCGUCGCAAACGGACUUCAUGGGAGCCGUCCAGCCCAAGGUUGCUAUCGCACGAGGGCUUGGGUUGGGAUUUACGUUUUGGAGCGACGGCGUGCGGGAUUUGGCAGCAGAGGAUCAGAGGAUUUGGGGCAGCACGAAACGACUUGGGGACCUCGGUUGAGGAUCGUGGAGGACAGACUUUUGGGGGGUUUGCUGCAAAAAUAAAUGGUUGUUAGGUCCAAAAGCGGGCGGCUAAUUGUAAAUGUUUCUGUUGCUGCACGGGAGGCGCAUGAUUUAGUGUUAAUGGCUGAGAUCACAGGGAUACAUGGAUACACAAUAAGCUCGGAUUCACGAGAUAUGCUGCCAACGUCCUUAUAUGCUUCUGCGGAGGCAACAUGGACCCUGCCGUCCACCAUUGGCGAUGACCUCCCACACUCCUAGGGCUUUGUAUGUAUUACCUUCAUUCCUAAAUAUAUGACGUUUUGGCAGUUCAAUUUGAACCGCCAAAACAUCGUAUAUUUAGGAACAAGAAAUAUUUGUUUUUGAGGGGAGUAGUAUAUUUCUUUUGUGUAUGUGUGUGUGUUUUUUUGCCGGAGGAGUGCUUCUUGUGUCUUUUGGUGUGUUCAGCUUAGGUGGAUGGCACGUGGCAACCUUCUCAUAAAAAAGAAUAAAACAAAUGGCGAGAUUCGCACCUAAAUCAAACCCCAGCCUCCAGUCCGCCGCCGCCGCCCACCCCCGUCACCGGAGUUCCGCCCGCCGCCUCCGCUCAUCGCCGAAGGCCGCCCGCGGCGCCCGCAUUUGCCUCACCGCCGGUAUGUAUCCGCCUUGCUCGCCACCCGUCCGACGCCUCACCGCUUCUUCUGCAGCACGCACCCUAACGGCGGCUGCACGAUCUCGGCCACAAACCGCCCGACAUCCUCUCCGACCCCAUCCCCAACCCACUGAAUCCUAAGCCCAGGUGUGAUUUGCUUGAUCUGCUCUUGUGCAACUUUCAGGCAAAAAAAUAAUAGUAUUCCUAGUAUGCAAUCAACUCAAUGUACCCCAGUUUUGGGAUAUUUUUAGGGGUUCAAUUCAUGUUAGUUCAUCCUGUAAGGAUCAUGGUCUUUGGCCCAGUUCAUACUUCAUAGUGGAACUUAUUCAAUUUUCCAACUUGAAUAAGCAGCCAACAGCUUUGGGAGUUGGCUAUUAGCCAUCUUUUUGACGCCAUAAUUUUCGCAACCUGAACCAGCUUCUGUGAAGUUGUAACUUUGGCCUCUUUCUGUAAAUUCAUGCCUGAAAUAGCCAUGCUUUUUCCUGUGAAUCAUUGUUUUUGCAUUGAUGGUUGUUAAAUGGAGAACCGUGUGUGAUUGUUAACCCCUCUAUAUCUACUCCUACAUUCACAGCAAGACUGACUGAGAAGAUUCGCUCAAAUCAGUGUGGCAGGCCAUUGACAUGGAGGCGAUUUUCGCGAGCACUGAUCGCCUUCUCCAGGUAGCCACGGACUCCCAUGCGCAGCCCAGCGCUCUGGGACGCCUCCGACGGGUGCUGGAUGGCGCCGCGGCGCGUUGCAUCUCCGACGCCACCUUCACCGACUGGCUCAAAGUGACGUUGGACGACUUAAUUGUCCACGUUGACAAACUUGACAACUUCACAAGGACGGUUGACAACAUCACUGCUCGCCUCCGGUCCACGUGCCACCCUAAAGGCAGCCACCGCGGCGUCUCCCCAGCUGGCCAACUCGCCGGCCUCCAUGGAAAUGAUCUCUUUCGCACACUGAUGACCCUGCAACUGCCUGAGGCUGCGCCUGCGGAGUUCUUCCUGGAGGCCGCACUCGCUGCGCAGAGCCUCAUCAUGCAUGACCAGCUCGACCUUUUCAUCGAACUCAGUGAGAAGGUCAUCUUGGAGGGCGACACUAUGGCGGUCAACGAGUACAACCUCAUGGCCUUAAUGGACCACAGGAAAACUUUGGUGAAGUUCAUUCACGAGCACAUUAAACUCUCCUACGCCGCUGCCACUUCACGUACUUUGCCACCCACUGGCCCAGCGAAGUAAAAGCUUGAUUGCCAUAACUAAGCUAGCUAGUUGCAAGUAAGACAAAGAAGGGUCGUGAUGGAUCCUUAGUUGGUUUCCGUAUGUAGUCUGCUGCAUCGUCUUUAUCGAGCCAAAGAGCAAGAACAAUUACUUUAUUUAUAUAUUAUGCUACUUGUCAGCGGUUGAGUCUGUCUGAAGUACUAGUAAUAGUUGCUAUCAAACUGCGCCCUGUGUGCUUGGCCUGCUAUAAUUAAUAUUGUACAAUGCAAUUUGUUUGGCAUCAAGUUCUGUUAUCAAUAGUCUAUAUGUUUCUUUUGUUGUGUUGCAUUACCUGCCUUCUAUUUUACUUCAUGCACCAUGCAUCUGUAUAUUUAUGCUCUCCUUUAUUUUUUGAUGAUGGUACAAACGAAUGUUCACACGCUGACAUGAACAGAUUAACAUUGAUGAACAAAUGUCUUAAGUGUUUGUUCCAUAACUGUUUAAUCUUCCAAGCCUGCUAACCAUGGUUUUAGAUAACAAACACAUGCCAAGUAUGUGCUGUCAUAAUUGCCCUCAAGUAUUUUCAGGCUGCCGACUGCUUUAUGCUAUGCAAAGUUGUAUGGAUUCAGGUGAACUACAGAAAACAGAGGACAAGAACAGGCUCUGAAUGUAUGUUCUUCAGGAGCUACAGAUAGCAAAUUUGUUUGCUGGCUCCAACGGUUUGCAUUGCGCAACCAGUGUGUUGUCAAGAUGCCACCACAGAGCUCAGCAACGCAUUCUCAACCUCCGGAGAGGCAUUUCUCCUGAGCAAGCACAUGAUAUAUAUACUCCAUCACUCUGGCAUCACAAGGCAGUGUGAUCUUGCCAUCGCUAGCGAAGCCAAAUUCCUCCUGGGACAUCUUCAGGGGCUUGCUGAAGAUCGUCGUGCUGAGGUACACCAAUGGUACCUCGACGCGGCUCUCAUCAACCGUGUACAUGACACAGUGGCCCUUGACCGCUACAGAGAUGCAGCACUCUGUUUCUUCUAUGGCUGUUGCUGUCAGCCUCUUCCGCUUGCUGCCAUCCUCUGCCACUUCUUUGCCAAUUGAGCAAGUCGCUUGGCGCUGAUCAUGGUUGUUUCUGGGUCUUGUUUUUCAGCUAGAAAUUUGAAUAAGUGAGGUAUGGAUGCUGUAAUGCUCUGUUGGUGCUGUAUGAGCUGAUGGUUUUGAGCAUAUCCGUUUGCUGAAUUUAUAGCCAAGCGGAAGGACAUCGUGACGUUGAAGUGUAGUUGUAAUUACAAAAGAUGGCAAGGGACAUGGCCAGUGAUCAGCACAUACAGUGUUGUGUGAUGGGGGAACAUGCUGGAUCCAACAUAGCAUAGACCAUUGGUUUGCUCUCAUAUCAUUUGUCAGUUUGGCAUGCUGGUGAGGGACAAGGCGGUGAUCUGUUCUGUGAUUUGGAUGUGGAUGGAUCAGGUUGAGAUAUCAUCAGUGUCAAUGAUCAUGCUGCUAUCUGAAGCUCUGAACCGACUGAAAGGAAAACGUGUAGGACUAAUGAUCAGGAACUCGUUCAUGGGUUGUUGAUCAGUCAGAUGCGUUCAUCUGGCUGAAUCCACUUGCUCAACAAAUGUCGCUGUUUAUUCUGCUUGUGGUCUGCUCCACGCCGAGCAUCUCAUGUGGUCUCCAAUUCACUCCUUUUCCCCCCAUUUUGACUUCUAGGUCAGAAAGAAAGAAGUACACACUCUGUUCUGAAAGGUAUAUUUAAUUUCAUAACUUGAUUCUUCACAAAACU
This is a non-coding RNA of Aegilops tauschii subsp. strangulata, 3808 nucleotides long. The record is from RefSeq and is a predicted model, not a curated record. NCBI's taxonomy places the organism in Eukaryota, Viridiplantae, Streptophyta, Magnoliopsida, Poales, Poaceae.